AUACGUAGGGUGCGAGCGUUGUCCGGAAUUACUGGGCGUAAAGAGCUCGUAGGUGGUUUGUCGCGUCGUCUGUGAAAUUCCGGGGCUUAACUCCGGGCGUGCAGGCGAUACGGGCAUAACUUGAGUACUGUAGGGGAGACUGGAAUUCCUGGUGUAGCGGUGAAAUGCGCAGAUAUCAGGAGGAACACCGGGGGCGAAGGCGGGUUCCCGGGCAUUAAAUGACGUUGCAGAGCGAAAGCAUGGGUAGCGAGCAGGAUUGUAUGCCCGGGAGGUCCAGGCGUUAAGCGGGGGCCGCCAGGUGUAGCGGGCUCCCACGACUUCGGGGCCGUAGCUAACUCAUUAAGCGCACCGCCUGGGGAGUACGGCCGCAAGGCUAAAGCUUACAGGAAUUGACGGGG
Molecule: ribosomal RNA, 398 nt
Filed under: uncultured bacterium
Lineage: Bacteria
Description: partial 16S ribosomal RNA
Rfam family: Bacterial small subunit ribosomal RNA
Source: RNAcentral